RNAcentral lists this ribosomal RNA (253 nucleotides) under uncultured bacterium. RNAcentral's name for it is "partial 16S ribosomal RNA". It matches the Rfam family "Bacterial small subunit ribosomal RNA", at positions 524 to 776 of the family's 1533-position model. The record is from RNAcentral.
UACGUAGGGUGCAAGCGUUGUCCGGAAUUAUUGGGCGUAAAGAGCUCGUAGGCGGUCUGUCGCAUCUGCUGUGAAAACUCGGGGCUUAACCCCGGGCCUGCAGUGGGUACGGGCAGACUAGAGUGCGGUAGGGGAGACUGGAAUUCCUGGUGUAGCGGUGAAAUGCGCAGAUAUCAGGAGGAACACCGGUGGCGAAGGCGGGUCUCUGGGCCGUAACUGACGCUGAGGAGCGAAAGCGUGGGGAGCGAACAGG